GCGCGGCCGCGCGGCUGGAGCACCGCGGGGCGCUGUGGCCGCUGCUCGAGCGCGCGUUCGCCACGCGCGAUGCGCA
This 76-nucleotide transfer RNA is filed under the name Pigmentiphaga humi. Its description in RNAcentral is "Pigmentiphaga sp. IMT-318 tRNA-His". The record is from RNAcentral. Lineage: Bacteria; Pseudomonadati; Pseudomonadota; Betaproteobacteria; Burkholderiales; Alcaligenaceae.